RNAcentral lists this ribosomal RNA (537 nucleotides) under Kluyveromyces marxianus. RNAcentral describes it as "eukaryotic LSU rRNA". It matches the Rfam family "Eukaryotic large subunit ribosomal RNA", at positions 87 to 664 of the family's 3401-position model. The record is from RNAcentral. Lineage: Eukaryota; Fungi; Ascomycota; Saccharomycetes; Saccharomycetales; Saccharomycetaceae.
CGGCGAGUGAAGCGGCAAAAGCUCAAAUUUGAAAUCUGGCGUCUUCGACGUCCGAGUUGUAAUUUGAAGAAGGCGACUUUGUAGCUGGUCCUUGUCUAUGUUCCUUGGAACAGGACGUCAUAGAGGGUGAGAAUCCCGUGUGGCGAGGAUCCCAGUUAUUUGUAAAGUGCUUUCGACGAGUCGAGUUGUUUGGGAAUGCAGCUCUAAGUGGGUGGUAAAUUCCAUCUAAAGCUAAAUAUUGGCGAGAGACCGAUAGCGAACAAGUACAGUGAUGGAAAGAUGAAAAGAACUUUGAAAAGAGAGUGAAAAAGUACGUGAAAUUGUUGAAAGGGAAGGGCAUUUGAUCAGACAUGGCGUUUGCUUCGGCUUUCGCUGGGCCAGCAUCAGUUUUAGCGGUUGGAUAAAUCCUCGGGAAUGUGGCUCUGCUUCGGUAGAGUGUUAUAGCCCGUGGGAAUACAGCCAGCUGGGACUGAGGAUUGCGACUUUUGUCAAGGAUGCUGGCGUAAUGGUUAAAUGCCGCCCGUCUUGACCCCCCGG